AGGGGCGACUAUACCAGCACUAAUGCACCGGAUCCCAUCAGAACUCCGUAGUUAAGCGUGCUUGGGCGAGAGUAGUACUAGGAUGGGUGACCUCCUAGGAAGUCCUCGUGUUGCAUCGU
RNAcentral lists this ribosomal RNA (119 nucleotides) under Vigna angularis (adzuki bean). The record is from RNAcentral. Lineage: Eukaryota; Viridiplantae; Streptophyta; Magnoliopsida; Fabales; Fabaceae.